CACGGGCAGGAACCACCGCCGGGAGUAGUUCUGAAGCAUACUCUGCCUUGCAAUUUACCUCCAUCGCCCCAAAGCUCCAUUUCCUCAGGAGCAGGAGUCUGUCUUCAGCUGGACGACAGGAAAUUAAGGGAUUUUUAUCUUCUCCUCCGGCCACAGUGUGGGGGCGUGCUGAUUGUACAUCAGGGGAGAACAAUGGUUCCUCUGACCACUUUUGAUUCAUUCCAUCUCUGGUUUCCAUGGAGCAUCAUAAAAGGAUCUAUGUGUGCGUCAGGACAGCGGACAGACGGAAGCGGCCCGGGGCAAACAGGAGAUGAAGCUUCUGCCUCAUGCGUCUCCAUCCAAAACUAAGAGAUGGCGUAUGAAGACAUUUGGCAGGGGACCCAGAAUCACCUGAAUCCCACCUUGGCCUUCGACCCCAGCUCUCCACAGUGCCCCAGGGGAGCACUCAACAGCAACUCUGAGGCAGAGAUAGACAGAAGACUGGAUCUGUAGGCACAAGAUCCUUUCAGAAGCCAAUCCAGAAGGAAUCUCCCCACCCAAGACUCCACUAUGCUGCAAUGGAGAGAAGAAAGACAUUGAAAUCAGGCAGUUGGUGAUUCGGUAUCCUGGCUUUGCCAUUUCCUUCCUGUGUAACCUUGGGUGAGAUGCUUAACCUCUCUGAGCCUCAGGUUCCUCUUCUGUGAAAGAGAUAAAAAGUCCUCGUUUGUAGAACUCUGGGGACAACUACAGGAAAAAACAUAGGUAAAGAGGCCUAAUAUAUCUUAGGUCUUCUAAUCCCUAAAUUCUCUCCAAACAUUCAGGAUGGGAAUAGACCAAUAGAACACACGCAGAUGACAUAGGCCACAUUGUGGUCUCCAUUCCAGGAGAAUGCCAUCUGGUUGAGUUUCGGCUGCCUUAUGAUGACAAAAAGAAUUCAGGCCAUUGUUGUCUCCAACAGGACACAUACAGGAGAAGCACUGAAGAUGCUUUCAGAUUGUCUGAGGGUGGCUAGAUACAACCUAUUCUUAUUAAAGCUAUUUAUAGUGAGAAGCCUUUCAGGUCAGGCCUGCCUUUCCAGUCUGCCUCAUUGGCAAGGUGAUGGGCUCUAGGCUCUGUUUGUUAUAUGUUGCUCGUGGUUUCUAUUGGUUCUGGCUUUGGUGGUUUGUUUCAUUCACACUAGAUGCCAAGGGGAACAUAUGGCCCAGUGAGCUAAGGAACAGCCUGGAUAUCCGGGGACUUUGUGCUGUCUGUGACACUUCAGAAAGUGACUCAGUUAGCCAGUGGUAACAGAAAAAAGAGAACCCGUGACUAUUUCAUCCAUUUGAGCACAGAGACAACUCUAGCCAUUUGAAUGCUUAACAUAUACACCAACCCCUUGAAAGCUAAAGUCUAAUUUGGGCUCCAUGAUUCUAGAGGUCGAGGAGCCAGGGAGGGGCUGGAGGGGGGUGACACCAGGCAACUACUGGCACUUACAAUGUUGUGCAUCCAAAAUAAAAUAGUUCCUAGAUGUUUUUAAUAUCCAGAUCUCAGAGUCAGUUCAGAGCUCAUAACAAUACAAUGACAACUGGAAUAAAACCGUAUGUGGACAGU
This is a long non-coding RNA of Leopardus geoffroyi (Geoffroy's cat), 1569 nucleotides long. RefSeq lists it as uncharacterized. The record is from RefSeq and is a predicted model, not a curated record. Lineage: Eukaryota; Metazoa; Chordata; Mammalia; Carnivora; Felidae. The transcript has 4 exons.